Molecule: long non-coding RNA, 943 nt
Filed under: Homo sapiens (human)
Lineage: Eukaryota; Metazoa; Chordata; Mammalia; Primates; Hominidae
Source: RNAcentral
CCCACCAGGAGGCUAAUAAUGAAGGGGCCGGGAAGGAGGCCAGUGCUACCAGGGUUAUCUCACAACCUCAGAUGCUGGAUAAGUCGACGGAGGCAGAAUCGCUUUGGGAUGACAUUCAGAAAGCCUGGAGUGAUUACUUGCAAGAGAAAAGCCUACCUAUUCUUUCCAAGGUGCAGGAAUAUUCCCCUGACCUGCUCAUCCAGUGGUCCAGUAAUGAAUUACUGGAGACCUGCCUUAGACAAAGAAUGCACUCGGAGCCCCAACACACCUAAAGCCAUGCUUUGAAGGAUCUGCCAAGCUCACUUUUAAUCAUGAGAAAGAAAUUACCCACACGGAGUCAGCAGAAAAUGAGAAAGUAGAGCUCGUGCUGUGAAUAAUUCCAGCAAGUGCCAAGGGGCUAGUUGAGGAAUGGCUUCAUGAGGUGAAUAUCUUUAGCUUGUACUUAGGGUUUGGUUAGCGUAUAAUCAUUUUCUCUUUUAGGAGCAAUGACUAUCAUACAUGUAUUUCCUAACUAAAGAGUGCUCAGAGCAUUUGUCAGGUUGUUGACAGAUUUAAUAUCAGUCUUGCCCAUGUUGUUAUUUACUAUGACUAAUUUUACGUUUGUAAAUAUGCAAAAAUCAAUUUAGGCGGAAAGGCUCUCCUCCGAGCCAAUGACUGCUACUAGCUGUAUGCAUUUGUGUGUAUUGCUGUGAGUGCAUGUCCAGUAGUUUAUGUCUCUGUGUCUGUAUGUGCCCUUGUUCUGUCUUCUCUCUGUUGUGAACGCAGGUUGGGAGAAUUAGCCAACCAUUGGGUUCUCAGAUGUGGUCCCAGGCUUUCAUUUGAUUUUUGGAACGGGAAAAAAAGAACGUGUCACAUCAUGAUUAAUGGUGAAUCUGAAUUUUCAAUUCACAUGAAAGGAGGAAGGGGAGGGGAUAUGAGUCAAGUGACAAGACUAACCUUUUCC